RNAcentral lists this transfer RNA (59 nucleotides) under Chaetogammarus marinus. RNAcentral describes it as "tRNA-Arg". The record is from RNAcentral. Lineage: Eukaryota; Metazoa; Arthropoda; Malacostraca; Amphipoda; Gammaridae.
AAAGCAGAAGUAACACUACAUUUGGUUUCGGCCCAAAUAUUGGCUAAGGCCCUGUUUUA